Molecule: non-coding RNA, 73 nt
Organism: Penaeus vannamei (Pacific white shrimp)
Lineage: Eukaryota; Metazoa; Arthropoda; Malacostraca; Decapoda; Penaeidae
Source: the annotation of a RefSeq genome assembly
AUUCCCGUAGCACAACGGUUAGCGCGACGGUCUCCAGAAUCGUUGACCCGGGUUCGAUUCCCGGCGGAGAAUA